UAUCCCCUGUGUGCCUUGUUCCCACGACUACGCUAUCACUCCUACGGGAGGCAGCAGUGGGGAAUAUUGCACAAUGGGGGAAACCCUGAUGCAGCCAUGCCGCGUGUGUGAAGAAGGCCUUCGGGUUGUAAAGCACUUUCAGUAGGGAGGAAGGUAGUGUAGUUAACACCUGCAUUAUUUGACGUUACCUACAGAAGAAGCACCGGCUAACUCCGUGCCAGCAGCCGCGGUAAUACGGAGGGUGCGAGCGUUAAUCGGAAUUACUGGGCGUAAAGCGCAUGCAGGCGGCCUGUUAAGUCAGAUGUGAAAGCCCGGGGCUUAACCUCGGAAUUGCAUUUAGAAACUGGCAGGCUAGAGUCUUGUAGAGGGGGUAGAAUUUCAGGUGUAGCGGUGAAAAUGCGUAGAGAUCUGAAGGAAUACCAGUGGCGAAGGCGGCCCCCUGGACAAAGACUGACGCUCAGAUGCGAAAGCGUGGGGAGCAAACAGGAUUAGAUACCCUGGUAG
This 504-nucleotide ribosomal RNA is filed under the name uncultured bacterium. RNAcentral's name for it is "bacterial SSU rRNA". It matches the Rfam family "Bacterial small subunit ribosomal RNA", at positions 305 to 793 of the family's 1533-position model. The record is from RNAcentral.